UGAGGAAUAUUGGGUCAAUGGGCGAGAGCCUGAACCAGCCAAGUAGCGUGCAGGAAGACGGCCCUAUGGGUUGUAAACUGCUUUUAUGCGGGGAUAAAGCGGGCGACGUGUCGCCCCUUGCAGGUACCGCAUGAAUAAGGACCGGCUAAUUCCGUGCCAGCAGCCGCGGUAAUACGGAAGGUCCGGGCGUUAUCCGGAUUUAUUGGGUUUAAAGGGAGCGCAGGCCGGGUAUUAAGCGUGUUGUGAAAUGUAGGCGCCCAACGUCUGCACCGCAGCGCGAACUGGUGCCCUUGAGUACGCACGACGUUGGCGGAAUUCGCCGUGUAGCGGUGAAAUGCUUAGAUAUGGCGAAGAACUCCGAUUGCGAAGGCAGCUGACGGGAGCGCUACUGACGCUCAUGCUCGAAAGCGCGGGUAUCGAACAGGAUUAGAUACCCUGGUAGU
RNAcentral lists this ribosomal RNA (443 nucleotides) under uncultured Prevotella sp. RNAcentral describes it as "bacterial SSU rRNA". It matches the Rfam family "Bacterial small subunit ribosomal RNA", at positions 355 to 794 of the family's 1533-position model. The record is from RNAcentral. Lineage: Bacteria; Pseudomonadati; Bacteroidota; Bacteroidia; Bacteroidales; Prevotellaceae.